Molecule: unclassified non-coding RNA, 201 nt
Filed under: fungal sp.
Lineage: Eukaryota; Fungi
Description: partial internal transcribed spacer region
Rfam family: Eukaryotic small subunit ribosomal RNA (bases 1-46)
Source: RNAcentral
AAGUCGUAACAAGGUUUCCGUAGGUGAACCUGCGGAAGGAUCAUUAUAAAAUUUUUCAUAUUAAAUUUUAUUUAAUAUAUAAAAUUUAUACAAAAAUGUAUUCAAAACCCACACUCUUUAUAACCAUAAAAAAAUAUAUUAUAUAUUUAUAAUAUAUAAUAUAAAAAAAAACAACUUUCAACAACGGAUCUCUUGACUCUC